RNAcentral lists this ribosomal RNA (253 nucleotides) under uncultured prokaryote. Its description in RNAcentral is "partial 16S ribosomal RNA". It matches the Rfam family "Bacterial small subunit ribosomal RNA", at positions 525 to 777 of the family's 1533-position model. The record is from RNAcentral.
ACGAGGGGUGCAAGCGUUAUUCGGAGUUAUUGGGCGUAAAGGGUGCGUAGACGGCACAUUAAGUCAACUGUUAAAUUCCCUGGCCUAACUAGGGGCAAGCAGUAGAUACUGGUGAGCUUGAGGUCGGUAGAGGGGGGUGGAAUUGCUGGUGUAGCGGUGAAAUGCGUAGAGAUCAGCAGGAACACCCGUGGCGAAGGCGGCCCCCUGGGCCGUACCUGACGCUGAGGCGCGAAGGCUAGGGGAGCGAACGGGA